RNAcentral lists this ribosomal RNA (465 nucleotides) under uncultured Klebsiella sp. RNAcentral's name for it is "bacterial SSU rRNA". It matches the Rfam family "Bacterial small subunit ribosomal RNA", at positions 338 to 795 of the family's 1533-position model. The record is from RNAcentral. Lineage: Bacteria; Pseudomonadati; Pseudomonadota; Gammaproteobacteria; Enterobacterales; Enterobacteriaceae.
CCUACGGGGGGCUGCAGUGGGGAAUAUUGCAUAAUGGGCGCAAGCCUGAUGCAGCCAUGCCGCGUGUGUGAAGAAGGCCUUCGGGUUGUAAAGCACUUUCAGCGGGGAGGAAGGCGGUGAGGUUAAUAACCUCAUCGAUUGACGUUACCCGCAGAAGAAGCACCGGCUAACUCCGUGCCAGCAGCCGCGGUAAUACGGAGGGUGCAAGCGUUAAUCGGAAUUACUGGGCGUAAAGCGCACGCAGGCGGUCUGUCAAGUCGGAUGUGAAAUCCCCGGCCUCAACCUGGGAACUGCAUUCGAAACUGGCAGGCUAGAGUCUUGUAGAGGGGGGUAGAAUUCCAGGUGUAGCGGUGAAAUGCGUAGAGAUCUGGAGGAAUACCGGUGGCGAAGGCGGCCCCCUGGACAAAGACUGACGCUCAGGUGCGAAAGCGUGGGGAGCAGACAGGAUUAGAUACCCGGGUAGUC